GAUGAAGAACGUAGCGAAAUGCGAUAAGUAAUGUGAAUUGCAGAAUUCAGUGAACCAUCGAAUCUUUGAACGCACAUUGCGCCCCCUGGAAUUCCGGGGGGCAUGCCUGUUCGAGCGUCUCAGGGACGAACCCUCGCGCGGGUGUACGCGCGGUCGUGGCUGCGGUGGCGUGCCCGAGGCGGCGGCCACCGCGCUGGAAUCCAUGGGCGGACGCCUGCCGCGUGGCCGAGCGUGAUAUGACGCAUUGGCGCUCGCACGCGGCGAGGCUGCCAGCCCUGGCCCGUCUGUCGGGCGGGGGAGAGCAAGACACGUGAACUCCUCGAAUCAGGUAGGGAUACCCGCUGAACUUAAGCAUAUCAAUAAGCGGAGGA
This 371-nucleotide unclassified non-coding RNA is filed under the name soil metagenome. RNAcentral describes it as "partial contains 5.8S ribosomal RNA, internal transcribed spacer 2, and large subunit ribosomal RNA". The stretch from base 1 to 120 matches the Rfam family "5.8S ribosomal RNA", at positions 35 to 154 of the family's 154-position model. The record is from RNAcentral.